Canis lupus familiaris (dog) is the source of this 2467-nucleotide long non-coding RNA. RefSeq lists it as uncharacterized. The record is from RefSeq and is a predicted model, not a curated record. The transcript is spliced from 2 exons. Lineage: Eukaryota; Metazoa; Chordata; Mammalia; Carnivora; Canidae.
GCUUCCGCGGCCCGCUUGUCGGCUAGGGUGCAGCGCCCCGAGGCGCCAGCACGGGGGGCGCGGAGGAGAAGGGGGCGAGGUCCUGCUGUCGCCAGGAAGCCCUUUUGUGGGCAUCUUUGAAUUCCGUCUGUUCUCACUCCUUUCAGGUCCAGCUGAGGGCGGCGAGCGGCUGCCAUCUCCCUGGGUGACCAGCUCUGAAUGUCCACAGUCUCCCGGCCUGGUAACCGCCCAGCCUGCCCACCCACGGUCCUUCCUGACCCUGGUGAGGGCUCAGGCCCCCAGAGUGCCGCCGCCGUGCGCAGGGCGCAGGCAGGGAUGGGAGCGGCUCCGGGGCGGGCAGGACCUGCCAGGCACCCCCUCCUCCCCCUGCGGAGGCUCCCCUCCAUCCCGCGCACCCCACGAGGAAGGCUGCACUGCCAUCCCCAGCCGGUGGUCAGGGAGGCCCUGGCGGGCUGGGGCAGGGGCGCCAGGGAGCAUGGGCCCCAGGCGUCUUGCUCGUCUUGGGCCCCGGGACGCCCUAUGACACCUGCACGUGGUCGGCGUCCAGCAGGGCGUUAGCUGGGGCGGACAGCUCCGUGGGAGUCCCGGGGGGUGUGCCGUCCCCGUGGCCGCUGGGCGUGUGCCCCUCACAGCGCGUGCCGGCCACGUCCCGCAGGUCACCUGUCCGGGAGAGUCGCCUCCAGCCCCUGUGGGUUCCCAGACCGGAGGGGGAGCCACUGUCCUGGCCGCACAUACCCGCAAGCCAGGGCUGGGAGGCGGGAUGGGGGACGGGCCUUCGGGGCCCCGCUCGUGUCCCAGGGCCCGGGUGUGAGUCAGCACCCACGGGAGUCGUUCAGGAGGGAGACGCGGCACAGCCACCACGGGCCAUUUCCAGCACCUUCCGAGGAAAAGCCUUCUCGGGUCCUCACCGCGGGCAACGAGGCCCCGCCCCCCGUCACCCAGACACACCCAUGGAUGAGGUCUUGGGUCUGGUCCUUGUCGUUUUAAAUCUGAGCGAAGCCGACCUACCCUCACCCCGCCCGACCCCAGAAGGACCGAAGAGACGCUCUUCCAGGCGGGCUCGAGACCCGCGUCCAGGCCGCCUUCCGUGAGGAGCCAGCCGGGGCGUGAACACCUGCAGGGCCACGGGACACACACGAGCCGACGUGCGUGGAACGGGCGCCCAGGCGCCCAACGCUUACUCCUGGCUCAGGCGGAUCCGAUCCCAGGGAGCUGAGUUCAGGCAGCGGCGCCCUGGAGUUCCCACGCCCUGGGGCCCCCUCGCUGUCGCUCGCCCGCUCUGAGAACGGAGUCCUCCACGACCAUGCGGCACCAGGGCCUGGGCGGGGGCGGGCCUGGGCUCUGAGGAGCCUGUUCCAGGAGCGGCCAGUGUGGCCGGCGCACUCACCACGUCCGCGGGGGAACACGGCCGAGGGUGCCCCUGCCAGGGCCCGUGUCGGGACCUCCAGACGCCCGCAAUCCCAGCCCGGCAGAUGAUGCGCCUGCCACGCUCUGCUCAGCCUUUCUCCAGUGCGUCGCCCAGGGAGGGACGGCGGAUGACCGCCCCGCAGCCGGGCCUCGGCCACCCCGGGGUCUGUGCCCUCACCGGUGCCUCCGGCCACGGCCCUGGUGCUUCCGUCCCUGCGUCUCCCGAGGCAGCAGGAGGGCGGCCCGGUGACAGCUGCCCUGCUCGGUCAGUGACGCCCUCACUCGAGGACAGCGCUUCUAGGUCCAGAUUCACAGAUAACACGGGAGGAAAUCCCCCAGCCACAGGAAGGAGCAGCGUGGUGACAGCUUCUGCGUGUCCUCCCCAGGCUGUGGGGCUGCCGUGACCCUGGGGGCCCCAGUCGUGCCUGGACCAGGACGUGCCCCGAGCAGCGCAGCCGGGCCCUUCGGGACGGAGACGGCCUUCGUCCCUGCCACUGUGCUCAGGGGCCACAGGCGCCCCAGGCAGGACGUGGAGCCUCAUGACCCCCAUGGUCACCGCAGGUGCCCGAGCCAGCAAACAGCCAGGGGAGCCGACCAGAGGGGCCAGGGUGCCCCUGCACCCCGGGUGUCAGGUGUUCUCCUCCCCGCCUGCAGGGGGCCCGGGCCCCUCCCUCCCCGCGGGGCCAUGAGACAGUCACACGUCCGCCUCCCCCAAGCCCUGGCCACCGGUCCUUGCAGGGGCUCAGUGACCAGUGGUUGCAGGUUUCAGGUCUCCGGGCCGCCAGGGCUGAGACCGGGAACAUUCUGGGUGCAGCUCGGGGAAUGGGGUGAGCAGGUUCCCCUGGGCUGGACAGAGGAGGCCUGGGCCUUGGCCCUGCCACUGGCCCCACGGUCAGGCCUGCAGGGUGGAGACGGGGCCUUGUUCCCCUACAACACCCACAAGGCCACAGGCACCUCAACCACCUGCGCCCCAACAAAUACAUAAAUCUUAGAAACAUAAAAUACUCAUUAUUUUGAGUGUUCGCUGUUAAGAAAAAUUAAACUCGUUCCCACUUGCUCA